RNAcentral lists this ribosomal RNA (869 nucleotides) under uncultured Micrococcineae bacterium. RNAcentral's name for it is "bacterial SSU rRNA". It matches the Rfam family "Bacterial small subunit ribosomal RNA", at positions 14 to 898 of the family's 1533-position model. Lineage: Bacteria; Bacillati; Actinomycetota; Actinomycetes; Micrococcales. The record is from RNAcentral.
UGAUCCUGGCUCAGGACGAACGCUGGCGGCGUGCUUAACACAUGCAAGUCGAGCGAUGAAGCACCUUCGGGUGUGAAUUAGCGGCGAACGGGUGAGGAACACGUGAGAAAUCUGCCUUCAACUCUGGGAUAACUCCGUGAAAACGGGGCUAAUACCGGAUAUGAGAUCUACAGGCAUCUGUGGAUCUGGAAAGUUUUUCGGUUGAAGAUGAUCUCGCGGCCUAUCAGCUUGUUGGUGAGGUAAUGGCUCACCAAGGCGACGACGGGUAGCCGGCCUGAGAGGGCGACCGGCCACACUGGGACUGAGACACGGCCCAGACUCCUACGGGAGGCAGCAGUGGGGAAUAUUGGGCAAUGGAGGAAACUCUGACCCAGCGACGCCGCGUGCGGGAUGAAGGCCUUCGGGUUGUAAACCGCUUUCAGCAGGGAAGAAGCGAAAGUGACGGUACCUGCAGAAGAAGCACCGGCUAACUAUGUGCCAGCAGCCGCGGUAAUACAUAGGGUGCAAGCGUUGUCCGGAAUUAUUGGGCGUAAAGAGCUCGUAGGUGGUUCGUCACGUCGGAUGUGAAACUCUGGGGCUUAACCCCAGACCUGCAUUCGAUACGGGCGAGCUUGAGUAUGGUAGGGGAGUCUGGAAUUCCUGGUGUAGCGGUGGAAUGCGCAGAUAUCAGGAGGAACACCAAUGGCGAAGGCAGGACUCUGGGCCAUUACUGACACUGAGGAGCGAAAGCGUGGGGAGCGAACAGGAUUAGAUACCCUGGUAGUCCACGCCGUAAACGGUGGGCACUAGUUGUGGGGACCUUCCACGGUCUCUGCGACGCAGCUAACGCAUUAAGUGCCCCACCUGGGGAGUAGGAUCGCAAGAUUAAA